RNAcentral lists this ribosomal RNA (585 nucleotides) under uncultured bacterium. RNAcentral's name for it is "bacterial SSU rRNA". It matches the Rfam family "Bacterial small subunit ribosomal RNA", at positions 8 to 641 of the family's 1533-position model. The record is from RNAcentral.
AGAGUUUGAUCCUGGCUCAGAACGAACGCUGGCGGCAGGCCUAACACAUGCAAGUCGAACGCCCCGCAAGGGGAGUGGCAGACGGGUGAGUAACGCGUGGGAACAUGCCCUUUGGUUCGGAAUAACUCAGGGAAACUUGAGCUAAUACCGGAUAAGUCCGAGAGGAGAAAGAUUUAUCGCCGAAGGAUUGGCCCGCGUCUGAUUAGCUAGUUGGUGUGGUAAUGGCGCACCAAGGCGACGAUCAGUAGCUGGUCUGAGAGGAUGAUCAGCCACAUUGGGACUGAGACACGGCCCAAACUCCUACGGGAGGCAGCAGUGGGGAAUAUUGGACAAUGGGCGCAAGCCUGAUCCAGCCAUGCCGCGUGAGUGAUGAAGGCCUUAGGGUUGUAAAGCUCUUUUACCUGGGAAGAUAAUGACGGUACCAGGGGAAUAAGCCCCGGCUAACUUCGUGCCAGCAGCCGCGGUAAUACGAAGGGGGCUAGCGUUGUUCGGAAUCACUGGGCGUAAAGCGCACGUAGGCGGAUCUUUAAGUCAGGGGUGAAAUCCCGAGGCUCAACCUCGGAACUGCCUUUGAUACUGGGGAUC